AUGGGGACCGGCGGCGGCGACGGCGACGCGGCGGCGGUGCGCACCGCGGGGGAGGCGGCGCGGAUGGUCUGGGAGGAGUCCCGGCGCCUCUGGGGCAUCGGCACGCCCAUCGCCAUCGCCACGCUCAGCCUCUUCGCCGUCAGCUCAGUCACCACCGUCUUCGUCGGCCACCUCGGCAACCUGCCCCUCGCCGCCGCCUCCAUCGGCCUCUCCGUCUUCUCCACCUUCUCCUUCGGGUUCCUCCUGGGCAUGGGGAGCGCGCUGGAGACGCUGUGCGGGCAGGCGUUCGGCGCCGGCCAGGUGGCGAUGCUGGGCGUCUAUCUGCAGCGCUCCUGGAUCGUGCUCAUCGCCGCCUCCCUCCUCAUGGUGCCCUUCUACGCCCUCGCCGAGCCUCUCCUCCUCGCCAUCGGCCAGGACGCCGCCGUGGCGCGCGAGGCGGCCCGGUUCGCGCUCCGCAUCCUGCCCGGCGCGCUCUCCUUCGCCGUAAACUUCCCCACCGCCAAGUUCCUGCAGGCGCAGAGCAAGGUGCUGGUGCUGGCCUGGGUCGGCGUGGCCGGGCUCGGCUUCCACGCCGCGCUCACCUACCUCCUCGUCGCCGUCCUCGGCUGGGGCCUCCCCGGCGCCGCCGCCGCCUACGACGUCUCGCUCUGGGCCAUCGCGCUCGCCCAGGCCGCCUACAUCGUCGGCUGGUGCCGGGACGGCUGGCGGGGCUGGUCCGUGGCCGCGUUCAGCGACAUGUGGGCCUUCGUCAGGCUCUCGCUCGAGUCCGCCGUCAUGCUCUGCCUCGAGAUCUGGUACAUCGGCAUGAUCACUGUCCUCACCGGCCACCUCCAGGACGCCCAGAUCGCCGUCGACUCCCUCGGCAUCUGCAUGAAUGUGAACGGAUGGGAGGGCAUGAUCUUCAUCGGCCUCAACGCGGCCAUCAGCGUUCGAGUCUCCAACGAGCUGGGCUCCGGCCGGCCAAGGGCGGCGAAGCACGCGGUCAUGGUCGUCGUCGGCGAGUCGCUGCUAAUCGGGCUGCUCUGCAUGGCCCUCGUGCUCAUCUUCAGAGACAGCUUCUCCAUCAUCUAUACCACCGACUCGGAGCUCCAGCACGCCGUCUCCAGGAUCGCGGGGCUGCUUGGCCUCACCAUGGUCCUCAACAGCGUGCAGCCCGUGCUUUCAGGGGUCGCCAUUGGAGGAGGGUGGCAGGGCCUUGUCGCAUACAUCAACCUCGGCUGCUACUACAUCUUCGGGUUGCCCCUGGGAUAUCUCCUCGGCUACAAGUUCAACUAUGGAGUUGGGGGGAUUUGGGCCGGCAUGCUUUGCGGGAUUGCACUUCAGACACUGAUCUUAAUCUUCAUAGUGUGGAGAACGGAUUGGAACGCAGAGGCUGCGCUGGCUUCAAGCCGUGUGCGAAAGUGGGGCGGCGCAGAUGUAACCAAGCCUCUCCUGGAGUAG
This 1440-nucleotide ribosomal RNA is filed under the name Triticum aestivum (bread wheat). Its description in RNAcentral is "partial small subunit ribosomal RNA". Lineage: Eukaryota; Viridiplantae; Streptophyta; Magnoliopsida; Poales; Poaceae. The record is from RNAcentral.